RNAcentral lists this ribosomal RNA (400 nucleotides) under uncultured bacterium. RNAcentral's name for it is "bacterial SSU rRNA". It matches the Rfam family "Bacterial small subunit ribosomal RNA", at positions 355 to 747 of the family's 1533-position model. The record is from RNAcentral.
UUAGGAAUAUUCGUCAAUGGGGGAAACCCUGAACGAGCAAUGCCGCGUGAAGGAAGAAGGUCCUAUGGAUUGUAAACUUCUGUUGUAAGGGAAGAAUGACCUUUGUAGGAAAUGACAAAGGAGUGACGGUACCUUUCAAGAAAGCUCCGGCUAACUACGUGCCAGCAGCCGCGGUAAUACGUAGGGAGCGAGCGUUAUCCGGAAUUAUUGGGUGUAAAGGGUGUGUAGGCGGUAAGUUAAGUUUAAGGUUUAAGGCUAGAGCUCAACUCUAGCAUGCCUUAGAAACUGACUUUCUUGAGUACGGUAGAGGCAAGUGGAAUUUCUAGUGUAGCGGUAAAAUGCGUAGAUAUUAGAAGGAACACCAGUGGCGAAGGCGACUUGCUGGGCCGAAACUGACGCU